RNAcentral lists this ribosomal RNA (417 nucleotides) under uncultured bacterium. RNAcentral's name for it is "bacterial SSU rRNA". It matches the Rfam family "Bacterial small subunit ribosomal RNA", at positions 29 to 460 of the family's 1533-position model. The record is from RNAcentral.
AUUGAACGCUGGCGGCAGGCCUAACACAUGCAAGUCGAGCGGCAGCACUUCGGGUGGCGAGCGGCGAACGGGUGAGUAAUGCAUGGGAAUCUGCCUGAUAGUGGGGGAUAACUCUGGGAAACUAGAGGUAAUACCGCAUACGUCCUACGGGAGAAAGCGGGGGAUCUUCGGACCUCGCGCUAUCAGAGGAGCCCAUGUCCGAUUAGCUAGUUGGUGAGGUAAAGGCUCACCAAGGCGACGAUCGGUAACUGGUCUGAGAGGAUGGUCAGUCACACUGGAACUGAGACACGGUCCAGACUCCUACGGGAGGCAGCAGUGGGGAAUAUUGGACAAUGGGGGCAACCCUGAUCCAGCCAUGCCGCGUGUGUGAAGAAGGCCUGGUUGUAAGCGACUUAAGCAGGAGGAAGGACGUCGAAA